Molecule: unclassified non-coding RNA, 236 nt
Filed under: Lobulomyces angularis
Lineage: Eukaryota; Fungi; Chytridiomycota; Chytridiomycetes; Lobulomycetales; Lobulomycetaceae
Description: partial contains 5.8S ribosomal RNA, internal transcribed spacer 2, and large subunit ribosomal RNA
Source: RNAcentral
CGCACAUUGCGCUCUUUGGUAUUCCGAAGAGCAUAUCUGUUCGAGCGUCGUUAUCAACCUCAAGCUCUUGCUUGGCUAUGGAAUUUGUCUGCAGACUAUUCUCAAAGACAAUGAGCAGGUACUCUCGUGUCUAGAGCGCAGUUAAACUUUCGCUACUAGGCCUGGGGGCGUCUCGCCCAAAACCAAAACAUUUCAAGGUCGACCUCGGAUCAGAUAGGGAUACCCGCUGAACUUAA